This 333-nucleotide ribosomal RNA is filed under the name Triticum aestivum (bread wheat). RNAcentral describes it as "partial small subunit ribosomal RNA". The record is from RNAcentral. Lineage: Eukaryota; Viridiplantae; Streptophyta; Magnoliopsida; Poales; Poaceae.
AUAGAUUUCCUGCCCUUCCAUGAACGAAGCAGCGGCGGCGCUAGCAAGAUCCUCUGCGUGGACGCCGAGGGGCACACCGUCCUAUACGACAUGGACGCCGGCUCCCUCCAGCCGAUUCCAUGCCUCAACAGUCCCAAGGGGAGCAGGCCCAUCGGCUUCUCCGCCACUGAUGCCGAAGCCGACGACCCCGAGCGUGCCCAUGUCUUCUACGUCAUGGGAAGCUUCGUCUAUUUGGGAGCUGGGAGGUUUUGUAUCAGCAAAGUCUUUGAGUUUGGUUUCGACGAACGCACUGGCAACAUGACUGAAAUGGGUGUUGUGAUGUCUGGUGUGGAG